Molecule: ribosomal RNA, 477 nt
Filed under: uncultured bacterium
Lineage: Bacteria
Description: bacterial SSU rRNA
Rfam family: Bacterial small subunit ribosomal RNA
Source: RNAcentral
CAGACUCCUACGGGAGGCAGCAGUGGGGAAUAUUGCACAAUGGGCGCAAGCCUGAUGCAGCGACGCCGCGUGAGGGAUGACGGCCUUCGGGUUGUAAACCUCUUUCAGCAGGGACGAAGCGCGAGUGACUGUACCUGCAGAAGAAGCACCGGCUAACUACGUGCCAGCAGCCGCGGUAAUACGUAGGGUGCGAGCGUUGUCCGGAUUUAUUGGGCGUAAAGAGCUUGUAGGCGGCUCGUCGCGUCGGGUGUGAAAACUCGCGGCUCAACCGCGAGCCUGCACCCGAUACGGGCGGGCUGGAGUUCGGCAGGGGAGACUGGAAUUCCUGGUGUAGCGGUGGAAUGCGCAGAUAUCAGGAGGAACACCGGUGGCGAAGGCGGGUCUUUGGGCCGAUACUGACGCUGAGAAGCGAAAGCGUGGGGAGCGAACAGGAUUAGAUACCCUGGUAGUCCACGCCGUAAACGUUGGGAACUAGGU